CGAAACUUACGUCGCACCUGCACUGAACCAUUCAUUUCCUCUAUUACAGUUUAUUUCCUCAUAUGGAGUGUAUAUAAGACAGAAAUAAAUUGAAAACUUAUCAAAACAUUUCUGUACACCGUUAAAUAACGAUACGCAUAUAUUCAAGGUAAAUUAUAUGUCUAUAAUGAAUUUAUUUUUCAAAAUAUAAUAGAUUAUAUUUUAAUGUAUGCAAUUAAUGUUUAAUUUAAAGAACAACAACUCUAUCUUGUUAAAACAAUAGAUUCGCAGUAUAAGAUAUAUGAAUAAUGAUGAUGAUUAUGAUUUGAGCAUGAAAUAUUUCUAGCAACGUCAAAUCAUCUAAAAUCACGGAUUCAAAAGAUAUAAGAAUAGUCCUAAUCAGUUAAAAACAAUUCAAAGAUUAACAGAUAAAUGUCUUUUUCUUAAUACUAUAAUGUAUGGCAAUAAUACAUUUUCCAUGGUGAAUCCUGCAGAUAAGUUUUGCAGUACUCGUUUAAGGCAUCAGAUAUAUUGAAAGAAUAAAUUUUUCAUUUUUUAGUGACAUUUUCAAACCAAUCAAUUUUAGUUGCAUUUGUUUUAAUAUUCAUUCUAGGUAUAAUGGAAGGGAAAGCUGUUAUCAUUUUCUUUGGCUUUAUAGCAUGUGCUUUUGCUGGUAUGUAUUUUAUGACGUUAUAUAUUUUUAUUAUUGUUCAAAUGAGGAUUUAUACAAAGGAAUAAGUCAUGAGCAAUCAUUUUUAAAACUUUACAGACCAAAUUUUUGAAAACAAACUAUCAUAAGAUUCUUUAAAAAAAUGAUUAAAAUACAUGAAUGUUAAAAUUAACAUACAAACAAGGAUACAUCGUUUCAGCACUUGGCUUAUACGUUUACCAUUCCUCAUAAGGAAACAAUCGCAGAAAACAAGGAAAUUUGAAAUCAUUUAAGGAAAAAAAUUGUAAAAGGAAAAUAAAAAAUGACGGAUACAUAACAUAAGAAUACCUAUCAUAUUAUAUUUAAAACGCAAACAUGUUUUACGAUUGGUGUAAGUAAAUUAGAACAGCGGUUUUUGACUUGGAUAUUGACUUGGAUCUUGAUAUUAUUCAAAUGAAGAUUUAUACAAAGGAAUAAGUCAUGAGCAAACAUUAUUAAAACAUUACAACCCAAAUAUUUGAAAAUGAAACAAUCAAAAGAUUCUUUAAAAAAGUUUAUUAAAUACAUGAAUGUUAGAAUUAACAUACAAAAACUGAUACAUCGUUUCGACACUUUUUGAAAUCAUUUAAGAAUAAAAAUUGUAGCAGGCAAAGUGAAAAUGACGAAUACAUAACAUGAGAAUACCUGAUAUAUUGUAUUUAAAGCACAAACAUGUUUACAAUUGGUGUAAGUAAAUUAGAACAGCGGUUUUUGACUUGGAAAUAUAGUUAAUAGAACAUAGAGUAAAAACAAAAACACCUAAUGUUUGGUCAUUGUUAAGAAAAUACAAAAUAUACUCACUUUUAACGAUAAACCGUGAAAGUAAUUAUACUAUAUGUAAUAUUUAUAUAAGUAAUACAUUCUUUAAAAAACACUUUGGUUGUAAAACAAAUAUUGAAACCGAAUAAUACUAUAAUCUGUUCUACAUCACUGUUUAGAUUUAUGUAGACAAAAUGCGCGUCUGUCUUAUCAAAUUAAAAGCCUGGUACCUUUCUUUUCGAAUGAAAAUUCAUAUUUCAACAUUUCUAAUUAAUAUUUAUUAUUACAGUAUAUUCACCCAAAGGCGGGAAAGCUUGUGAAAUUGAAUGCUCUAGUCAUUCAGAAUGUCUAGAUGGAUACAAAUGCCAAACUGAAGGAUGUGAUCGUAUGUGCAGACCUAGAAGAGUAAUCUUAUCAAAUGCAGUUGUCGGAUCAGACAUUAUUUCAGCUGGAUGCGUUCAGAGAUGUAUGGACCGAGGUGGGCUAGGUUGCAGAAGUCUUUGUCAGCGUAGUGCAGAUUUUUUAUCAGGAGGCCAAAUCAUUCGUAGUGGUUCCUUAGACAGUAGAUUCAAUGAUGCCUUAGUAGAUUCUAUUCGGUCAGAUAGUCUUGUUAGACAUACCUCGUCAGUAGGUGAUUCUAUUCGAUCAGGUAGUCUUGUUAGACAUAUCUUGCCAGUAGGUGAUUCUAUUCGGUCAGAUAGUCUUCUUGGACGUAUCUCAUCAGUAGGUGAUUCUAUUCGAUCAGGUAGUCUUGUUAGAAAUAUCUCGCCAGUAGGUGAUUCUAUUCGGUCAGGUAGUCUUCCUGGACGUAUCUCGCAAGUUGGUUCAAUUUUACAUAAAGGCUGUCAAAAUACAUGCAUUUCACGAGGCUGCAACUUCAACGAGGAAUGUGUCACACGAGAUGGAUGUUCUGUUUGUGUUCGUGCCAAGACCUACGCAUAAGAUAAGACAACAGAUGACAUAAUAUAUUGUGCAAUAUUUAAAUGAUAGUUAUCCAUGUAUUGUGAUAUUUUAUAAUUUUGUUUUGAUACACAAAUAAAGUAUUUAUUAUAACAGAGUUUAUUUAAAUUUUUGGUCUUAGAUUCACAGCUGCCUCUCACGCAUGUUCAACAACAAAAUCGGUAACAAAUCGUAACCUUAGAAAGCUUCUAACAGAAAUAUGAGACACAUCAGUAAAGCCUUCUAUAAUUCUAAUCAUUAUGACUUAAAAAGAAUUUCGCAUUUGCACCAGAAUAUAUAGCAAAGAACAAAUUGCAAUAUAUUUCAAUUAACAGAAUUAUUAUCAAUCAUAUUUCUGUAAUAAAAUAUCACUGCUAUUGCUUAAAAGGUGUUUCUUGGAAUGAGAGUAAAAAUAAAAUACAAAAACAAAUCUUAACUCUAAGGAAAUUAAAAACGAAAAGUCUCUUAUCAAAACAUCAAAAUCAACAGCUUAAACAAUUCAAAUGAAAGAAAACAGCUGUCAUUGUCCUGACUUAGUAAAGGAGAUUCCUUCUGAAGAAAAUAAUAGAUUGGACUUGAGUUGUUAUAGAUAGCUAGAACUCUGACAUGCUUGGCAGUCGCACAAAAUUACGUUAUAUUGACAAUAUUGUGUGAACAAAACAAGCAGACAUAAAAGAUAACCUUUAUUAUUAGAAAAAGAAACAAAUAGCUCAAUAUCUCAAUAAACAAAAAUGAAAUUGCAUAUAGAAUAUACUUAAAGGCAAAAAUUGAAAGAUAGAAAAAUGACUAUAGCACAAUAUCACAGUGUACCGAGCCAAAAAGAUAUAAACGACAAUUGACUAAACAGUCAAGGUACAUGUCUUAGAAAGAUAAAUAAACGAACACUAUAAAACGUUGUUAAAAGUGAGAUAAAAAAUACUAAAUGAACAUUUAAACUAAAAAUCGAAAUUAAUCUGAAAAAGACAUUUAUAAAAUACAAAAAGGGCAAACAGACAAACACAAUAGAAAACCAAAGACUGUGCAGCACGAGCGUUACCAACAGUCGGGUAAUCUCAGGUGUUCCGAAAAGGUAAGUAGAUCUUGCUCCACAUGUGACACUUGUAAAGUUUCGCAUGUUACUAGAAACCCGGUGAUUUGGCUAGCUCGAUAAAUCACAUACCGAAAAUAGUAUCAGCAAAACGGCUACUAUAUUUUGUACAUGGAAUAAAUGCAAAUAAAAUUGAGAAUGGAAAUGGGGAAUGUGUCAAAGAGACAACAACCCGACCAAAUAAAAAACAACAUUCAGAGGCCAUAUGAACACCACUUCACUGUCGUAAUAAGGACCUAAUUUUAUAAUAUACGUUAUUUCAAUUUUAAAAAACCAUGAUAAGUAUUAUAUCACUAACCUCUGUAGCAUUUAAGAGUCGAUUAGUCAAUGAGUUUAUGAUCAUAUAUUUUUCUCAAAUAUCAUUUAAAGAAAAGUUGUCUUCCAUUCUUGGAAUGAAUAAGUUAAAUUCAUGUGUAUUUGCAUUUGAAAUAAAGAAAAUGUCAGAUAAAUUUUGUUCAAUUAUGUUUUUCCAUGCAUGAUCUAUUCAAAAUCUUGUCAAAUUUGCACAACCUGUAGCACGAAAAAACAAGCCCCGUGACCCAUUCUUUUUAUUUAUGUUUUUAAAAAAGCAUGAUAUAAACUACAUUUUGGCAAAGUAUUAAAACAUUCUAUGGAUUAUAAUUUAGACACCCCAUCUACCUUAAACUAGAAACUGAAAUUAAAAUGUAACGUUUAAACUUAAAAUGAUUUAACACUUAACUUUAAUAAUAGUGGAAAUUAUCCGAUAAACCUCUUAAAAAUACCAACACUGAAAGACCGAAAAUGAGGAUAAAAAAUAUUAUAAAGAAAGAUGAUGUUUGUUAACAAACAUUAUCUGUAAUCCAUUUCUUGCUGUAUUUGGCAAAAUGUAUAGAAAUUGUUCGUUCUCAAUGCUCUUAAACUUUUUACUUUAUUUGGCUUAUUUAUUUUUUUUAUUCGAACGUCACUGAUGAGUCUUUUGUAGACGAAAUGCGCAUUGGGCGCAAAUAUAAAAUUUCUAUCAUGGUAUCUAUGAUGAGAUAAUUGGCAUUAAUCUCGUAUUGUUUUUGAUGUGUUUUGUCAUUUGAACUUUGCCAUGUUUAGGGACUUAUCGAAUUGAUUUCCCUCUGAGUUCAGUAUUUUUGUGAUUUUACUUUUUUUGUAUAACAGUGUAAGAAAGUAUGAAUUAAUUUGAUUUGCUUAUCCAACCUCAUAAGACGAUAUUAUGGCAUUUUCAUUUGCUUUUCGUUAGGUCCGAGAUAACUUUAAAAGGUUAAGAAGAUGUAUUUUUGUUAAUGGCAACUGCAUGAACAGAUAUAUGUGAUUUCUUCAAAAAUAUACAAAACACUCACACCUUUUACCUGACAAUCUUCUUUCUAUCAAUUUUUGUUACAUUCUGAAGCGUACAAAAAGUCUUUAAAUGUCUGACGUUAAAGUUUUACACAGGAAAAGGACAUAUUAUGUCAUACUAGAAUCUGCAAAAAAUUAGAUCAACAAUUCGCGAAAUUUUUAAUUUAAUCAAAUGAUAGUGUUGACCAUUGAGAAAUAGGUUAAACAACUUGAAAUAAAUGGAUAUCGCUUUAUAUCACUCUCAUCAAGUAUUCUAAUGGUAAUAAUAAACUCUCCGAAGGCUUGUUAAUUGUCCUUUUGAAAUUCGAUAACUCAAAUUGACGUCAAGCGAUAAUCCAUUCUCACUGGUUAUGAAACCUAUAAUUAGAGCAUUCUUUAAAUAACAGGUAUGGUUUUAAUUUUAAAGAUGCUCUUAUUUCCUCUCAAAAUUUGUAUCUAUUCCUUUAAAGUACUUAUCAUAAAAAAGAACAUGUGGUGUGUUUGCCAAUGAGACACACUCUCAAAACAAACCAAAUGACGCAGACUUUAACGACUAUAGGUCACCGUACGGUCUUCAACAAUGAGCAAAGCGCAUACUACAUAGUCAGUUAUAAAUCGCCCUGAAAUAACAAAUUAAUGUAAAAAAAAUUCAAACGAGGAAACUAACGGCCUAAUUUUUGUAAAAGUAGGAACGAAAAACAAAUAUUUAACUCAUCAACAAAAGGAGGACAAUCACGAAAGAAGUACAAACUCAUAAAUCUGGGACAGUCAAACAUACAAUGUGGCGGGGUUACACAUGUUAGCGGGAUCCAAACCCUCCCCAAACCUGGAACAUUCCCUCCCCAAACCUGGAACAGUGGUGUAACAGUACAACAUAAAAACAAACUAUAAAAAGGUCAUCAGAUGGAUACAAAUAGAAAUAUUAUUAAAUAAAACGGAUAUUUUUUACCAUAUCAUAUGGGAUUUUGUAAAAUUUCAGACAUGUUUAUAUCUAAAAGUUACAUUCAUAACUUUUGUUUUACUUCAUUAAUACAUACUGAUUAAAAACUGAAACUGUUUUGAGGGUUUUGAAUGCUAUCUGCUCUUAGUCGACGUCUGCAAUCCCCAGUAAAAGUAUGCGUUAUCUGCUCUUUGGUUGGGUUGUUGUCUGUUUGAAAUUUUCCCAAUGUCCAUCCUCGAUUUUACUUAUUAGCUAAGAGGAAUGCUUUGAAUGACAAAUUGAAGUUACGAAGUUUAAGUUGAAUAUACCAGUGAUUUUCAGAUAAAUAAGGUUCUUCGGUUUCUAUAAAUUGUAUUUAAAAGUUAUUUAAUCUAAUCAAACCCCAUCAAAUAUAGAUGCUGUCAAGUUUUAUGAAUUUUUAGGAUUGUGUCAUAAAAUGUAUAAAACUUGACAAAAAAUACAGAAAUUAUCUCCGACUUCGUUUAAUUAAAUCAAAUUCAGAAUAGAAUGCUUUUUACCCACACCAAUGGUUUAUCUAUUUUAAAAAAAUCAAAUUCAGAGUAGAAUGAUGUUUAAGCAAACUUAUGGUUCAUCUAUCUUUAAAGACCACAAUAUCUAAAUGCAUGUUUUUCUAUGACAAACAUCCUGACAUAUUCGUUAUGGUUUAACAUCUUAACCUUUGCAAUAUAUUAUUUUUCAAUUUAAAAGACCUCUCUUAAAUGAAUAUUUAACAAAAUAAAAAAUGCAGAAAAAAUAAACAAACGGCACUUCAACAUUUUUUUAAUUUCAACAACAUUUUCUGACCAAACCGAUAUGUCUUAAAAUAUUUUUUUGUUGUGGUUAGGCGAUACGGGAGACUGAGGUUAAAUUUUUUAACAGAUAAAUUCAAUGUAAGUGUGACAUUUAGAACUUGAUUAAUGAACAUAUUUACAAGUAUUGUGAAACUUACGUCACACCUGCACUGAACCAUUCAUUUCCUCUAUUACAGUUUAUUUCCUCAUAUGGAGUGUAUAUAAGACAGAAAUAAAUUGAAAACUUAUCAAAACAUUUCUGUACACCGUUAAAUAACGAUACGCAUAUAUUCAAGGUAAGUUAUAUGUCUAUAAUGAAUUUAUUUUUCAAAAUAUAAUAGAUUAUAUUUUAAUGUAUGCAAUUAAUGUUUAAUUUAAAGAACAACAACGUCUAUCUUGUUAAAACAAUAGAUUCGCAGUAUAAGAUAUAUGAAUAAUGAUGAUGAUUAUGAUUUGAGCAUGAAAUAUUUCUAGCAACGUCAAAUCAUCUAAAAUCACGGAUUCAAAAGAUAUAAGAAUAGUCCUAAUCAGUUAAAAACAAUUCGAGGAUUAACAGAUAAAUGUCUUUUUCUUAAUACUAUAAUGUAUGGCAAUAAUACAUUUUCCAUGGUGAAUCCUGCAGAUAAGUGUUGCAGUCCUCGUUUAAAGCAUCAGAUAUAUUGGUUUCAAUUAUUUUUUCAUUUUUUAGUGACAUUUUCAAACCAAUCAAUUUUAGUUGCAUUUGUUUUAAUAUUCAUUCUAGGUAUAAUGGAAGGGAAAGCUGUUAUCAUUUUCUUUGGCUUUAUAGCAUGUGCUUUUGCUGGUAUGUAUUUUAUGACGUUAUAUAUUUUUAUUAUUGUUCAAAUGAGGAUUUAUACAAAGGAAUAAGUCAUGAGCAAUCAUUUUUAAAACUUUACAGACCAAAUUUUUGAAAACAAACUAUCAUAAGAUUCUUUAAAAAAAUGAUUAAAAUACAUGAAUGUUAAAAUUAACAUACAAACAAGGAUACAUCGUUUCAGCACUUGGCUUAUACGUUUACCAUUCCUCAUAAGGAAACAAUCGCAGAAAACAAGGAAAUUUGAAAUCAUUUAAGGAAAAAAAUUGUAAAAGGAAAAUAAAAAAUGACGGAUACAUAAAAUAAGAGAACCUUAUAUAUUGUAUUUAGAGCACAAAUAAAAUUAACGACCCAGUGGUAGUAAUAAAAUUAACGGUACCAAUUUUCUUGCACCAGAUGCGCAUUUCGAUAAUACAUGUCUCUUCAGUGAUGCUCGUGGCCAAAAUAUUUGAAUCCAAAGCUUAUAUAAAUGAUGAAGAGCUAUAAUCCAAAAGGUCCAAAAAGUAUAGCCAAAUUCGUGAAAGGAAUCAGAGCUUUUCAUGAGGGAGAUACAUUCUUUAAUUUAUAAUAAUUUCUAUCAUUUUGUAACAGCAAAUUUUUAUAACACAAAAAAAUCCGUAUUUUCAUGCCAGUACCGAAUUACUGGCUACUGGGCUGGUAAUACCCUCGGGGACUAAUAGUCCACCAGCAGAGGCAUCGACCCAGUGGUAGUAAUAAAAUUAACGGUACUAAUUUUCUUGCACCAGAUGCGCAUUUCGACAAUACAUGUCUCUUCAGUGAUGCUCGUGGCCAAAAUAUUUGAAAUCCAAAGCUUAUUUAAAAGAUGAAGAGCUAUAAUCCAAAAGGUCCAAAAGGUAUAGCAACAUCCGUGAAAGGAAUCAGAGCUUUGCAUGAGGGAGAUACAUUCCUUAAUUUAUGAUAAUUUCUAUCAUUUUGUAACAGCAAAUUUUUAUAACACAAAAAAAUCCGUAUUUUCAUGCCAGUACCGAAGUACUAGCUACUGGGCUGGUGAUAACUUCGGGGACUAAUAGUCCACCAGCAGAGCAUCGACCCUGUGGUAGUAAUAAAAUUAACGGUACAAAUUUUUCUUGCGCCAGAUGCGCAUCUCGACAAUACAUGUCUCUUCAGUGAUGCUCGUGGCCAAAAUAUUGAAAUCCAAAGCUUAUAUAAAAGAUGAAGAGCUAUAAUCCAAAAGGUCCAAAAAGUAUAGCCAAAUCCGUGAAAGAAUCAGAGCUUUGCAUGAGGAGAUACAUUCCUUAAUUUAUAAUAAUUUCUAUCAUUUUGUAACAGCAAAUUUUAUAACACAAAAAAAUCCGUAUUUUCAUGCCAGUACCAAGUACUGGCUACUGGGCUGGUGAUACCAUCGGGAACUAAUAGUCCACCAGCAGAUGGCAUCGACCCAGUGGUAGUAAUAAAAAUUAACGGUACCAAUUUUCUUGCACCAGAUGCGCAUUUCGACAAUACAUGUCUCUUAGUUCAGUGAUGCCUGUGGCCAAAAUAUUGAAAAUCCAAGCUUUAUAUAAAAGAUGAAGAGCUAUAUCCAAAAGGUCCAAAACUAUAGCCAAAUCCGUGAAAGGAAUCAGAGCUUUGAUGAGGGAGAUACAUUCCUUAAUUAUAAUAAUUUCUAUCAUUUUGUAACAGCAAAUUUUUAUAACACAAAAAAUCGUAUUUUCAUGCCAGUACCGAAAAGUACUGGCUACUGGGCUGGUGAUACCCUCGGGAUAAUAGUCCACCAGCAGAGGCAUCGACCCAGUGGUAGUAAUAAAAUUAACGGUACCAAUUUUCUUGCACCAGAUGCGCAUUUGACAAUACAUGUCUCUUCAGUGAUGCUCGUGGCCAAAAUAUUUGAAAUCCAAAGCUUAUAUAAAAGAUGAAGAGCUAUAAUCCAAAAGUCCAAAAAGUAUAGCCAAAUCCGUGAAAGGAAUCAGAGCUUUGCAUGAGGGAGAUACAUUCCUUAAUUUAUAAUAAUUUCUAUCAUUUUGUAACAGCACAUUUUUAUAACACAAAAAAAUCCGUAUUUUCAUGCCAGUACCGAAGUACUCAAACAUGGUUUUCUAUUGGUGUUAGUAAAUUAGAACAGCGGUUUUUGAUUUAAAAAAAUAAGUAAUAGAACAAAGAGUUCCAAAAAAAUAUCAUUUUUUUUUUUGGGGUUAUUGUUAGAGAAAAUGAAAAUAAAUCUAUUUUACCUUUUUGCUACGAGUAAAAAGCUUAUUUUACUUUCACCACUAACGCUGAAACUACGAAAGCACUUAUACUCUAUGCAAUAUUUAUAUCAAUAUUGCAAUGUAUAAUACACAUUUUGAUGGUAAAAAAUAUCGAAACUGAAUAAUAUUUAAAAUCUAAGCUACUUCAUUGAAGAGUCUUAUGUUGACGAAAAGCGCAACUGGCUUAUCAAAUUAUAAGCCUGGUACCUUUUAUAUUUUACGAAUGAUAAUUCAUAUUUCAACAUUUCUAAUUAAAAUUUAUUAUUACAGUAUAUUCACCCAAAGGCGGGAAAGUUUGUGAAAUUGAAUGCUCCAGUCAUUCAGAAUGUCUAGAUGGAUACAAAUGCCAAACCGAAGGAUGUGAUCGUAUGUGCAGACCUGGAAAAGUAAUUUUAUCUAAUGCAGUUGUCGGAUCAGACAUUAUUUCAGCUGGAUGCGUUCAGAGAUGUAUGGACCGAGGUGGGCUAGGUUGCAGAAGUCUUUGUCAGCGUAGUGCAGAUUUAUUAUCAGGAGGCCAAAUCAUUCGUAGUGGUUCCUUAGACAGUAGAUUCAAUGAUGCCUUAGUAGAUUCUAUUCGGCCAGAUAGUCUUGUUAGACAUACCUCGUCAUUAGGUGAUUCUAUUCGGUCAGGUAGUCUUGUUAGACAUAUCUCGCCAGUAGGUGAUUCUAUUCGGUCAGAUAGUCUUCUUGGACGUAUCUCACCAGUAGGUGAUUCUAUUCGAUCAGGUAGUCUUGUUAGACAUAUCUCGCCAGUAGGUGAUUCUAUUCGGUCAGGUAGUCUUCUUGGACGUAUCUCGCAAGUUGGUUCAAUUUUACAUAAAGGCUGUCAAAAUACAUGCAUUUCACGAGGCUGCAACUUCAACGAGGAAUGUGUCACACGAGAUGGAUGUUCUGUAUGUGUUCGUGCCAAGACCUACGCAUAAGAUAAGACAACAGAUGACAUAAUAUAUUGUGCAAUAUUUAAAUGAUAGUUAUCCAUUGAUCGUGAUAUUUUAUAAUUUUGUUUUGAUACACAAAUAAAGUAUUUAUUAUAACAGAGUUUAUUUUAAUUUUGGUCUUAGAUUUACAGCUGCCUCUAAUGCAUGUUAAAAAACAAAAUCAGCAACAAAUCGUUACCUUAGAAACUUCUAACUGAAAUAUAAG
RNAcentral lists this long non-coding RNA (10631 nucleotides) under Mytilus galloprovincialis (Mediterranean mussel). Lineage: Eukaryota; Metazoa; Mollusca; Bivalvia; Mytilida; Mytilidae. The record is from RNAcentral.